UACGUAGGGGGCAAGCGUUGUCCGGAUUCAUUGGGCGUAAAGAGCGUGUAGGCGGCCAGGUAGGUCGGUUGUGAAAACUGGAGGCUCAACCUUCAGACGUCGACCGAAACCAUCUGGCUAGAGUCCGGGAGAGGAGAGUGGAAUUCCUGGUGUAGCGGUGAAAUGCGCGGAUAUCAGGAAGAACACCCGUGGCGAAAGCGGCUCUCUGGAACGGUACUGACACUGAGACGCGAAAGCGUGGGGAGCGAACAGG
RNAcentral lists this ribosomal RNA (253 nucleotides) under uncultured bacterium. Its description in RNAcentral is "partial 16S ribosomal RNA". It matches the Rfam family "Bacterial small subunit ribosomal RNA", at positions 524 to 776 of the family's 1533-position model. The record is from RNAcentral.